AUGUUAGCGGCGGACGGGUGAGUAACACGUGGGUAACCUGCCUGUAAGACUGGGAUAACUCCGGGAAACCGGGGCUAAUACCGGAUGGUUGUUUGAACCGCAUGGUUCAGACAUAAAAGGUGGCUUCGGCUACCACUUACAGAUGGACCCGCGGCGCAUUAGCUAGUUGGUGAGGUAACGGCUCACCAAGGCAACGAUGCGUAGCCGACCUGAGAGGGUGAUCGGCCACACUGGGACUGAGACACGGCCCAGACUCCUACGGGAGGCAGCAGUAGGGAAUCUUCCGCAAUGGACGAAAGUCUGACGGAGCAACGCCGCGUGAGUGAUGAAGGUUUUCGGAUCGUAAAGCUCUGUUGUUAGGGAAGAACAAGUGCCGUUCAAAUAGGGCGGCACCUUGACGGUACCUAACCAGAAAGCCACGGCUAACUACGUGCCAGCAGCCGCGGUAAUACGUAGGUGGCAAGCGUUGUCCGGAAUUAUUGGGCGUAAAGGGCUCGCAGGCGGUUUCUUAAGUCUGAUGUGAAAGCCCCCGGCUCAACCGGGGAGGGUCAUUGGAAACUGGGGAACUUGAGUGCAGAAGAGGAGAGUGGAAUUCCACGUGUAGCGGUGAAAUGCGUAGA
Molecule: ribosomal RNA, 620 nt
Filed under: Bacillus velezensis
Lineage: Bacteria; Bacillati; Bacillota; Bacilli; Caryophanales; Bacillaceae
Description: bacterial SSU rRNA
Rfam family: Bacterial small subunit ribosomal RNA
Source: RNAcentral